This 498-nucleotide ribosomal RNA is filed under the name uncultured Sphingobacteriaceae bacterium. RNAcentral describes it as "partial 16S ribosomal RNA". The record is from RNAcentral. Lineage: Bacteria; Pseudomonadati; Bacteroidota; Sphingobacteriia; Sphingobacteriales; Sphingobacteriaceae.
CACGGAGUUAGCCGAUCCUUAUUCCUUCGGUACGUUCAGCACGCUACACGUAGCGUGGUUUAUUCCCGAAUAAAAGCAGUUUACAACCCGGAGGGCCGUCUUCCUGCACGCGGCAUGGCUGGUUCAGAGUUGCCUCCAUUGACCAAUAUUCCUUACUGCUGCCUCCCGUAGGAGUCUGGUCCGUGUCUCAGUACCAGUGUGGGGGGCCAUCCUCUCAGAUCCCCUAGACAUCGUCGCCUUGGUGGGCCGUUACCCCGCCAACCAGCUAAUGUCACGUAUGCCCAUCUCUCCCCAUGAAUGUUUGACCAUGGCACGAUGCCGUGCCGUGGUUUUAUGCGGUAUUAAUCCGGAUUUCUCCGGGCUAUCCCCCAGGUGAAGGUAGGUUGCAUACGCGUUACGCACCGUGCGCCGGUCUCAAGGCUGCAAGCAGCCUCUACCCCUCGACUUGCAUGUAUUAGGCCUGCCGCUAGCGUUCAUCCUGAGCCAGGAUCAAACUCU